UGAGGAAUAUUGGUCAAUGGGCGAGAGCCUGAACCAGCCAAGUCGCGUGAGGGAAGACGGCCCUACGGGUUGUAAACCUCUUUUGUCAGGGAGCAAGAACAGGCACGUGUGCCUGACUGAGAGUACCUGAAGAAAAAGCAUCGGCUAACUCCGUGCCAGCAGCCGCGGUAAUACGGAGGAUGCGAGCGUUAUCCGGAUUUAUUGGGUUUAAAGGGUGCGUAGGCGGACUGCCAAGUCAGCGGUAAAAUAGCGGGGCUCAACCCCGUCGAGCCGUUGAAACUGGUGGUCUUGAGUGGGCGAGAAGUACGCGGAAUGUGUGGUGUAGCGGUGAAAUGCAUAGAUAUCACGCAGAACUCCGAUUGCGAAGGCAGCGUACCGGCGCCCAACUGACGCUGAAGCACGAAAGCGUGGGUAUCGAACAGGAUUAGAUACCCUGGUAGUCCACGCAGUAAACGAUGAAUGCUAGCUGUCCGGGACGAAUGAGUCCUGGGUGGCACAGCGAAAGCGUUAAGCAUUCCACCUGGGGAGUACGCCGGCAACGGUGAAACUCAAAGGAAUUGACGGGGGCCCGCACAAGCGGAGGAACAUGUGGUUUAAUUCGAUGAUACGCGAGGAACCUUACCCGGGCUCAAACGCACUACGAAUGAUGCUGAAAGGUGUCAGCCAGCAAUGGCGGAGUGCGAGGUGCUGCAUGGUUGUCGUCAGCUCGUGCCGUGAGGUGUCGGCUUAAGUGCCAUAACGAGCGCAACCCCUAUUGACAGUUGCUAACGGGUCAAGCCGAGGACUCUGUCGAGACUGCCGGCGCAAGCUGUGAGGAAGGCGGGGAUGACGUCAAAUCAGCACGGCCCUUACGUCCGGGGCGACACACGUGUUACAAUGGCAGGUACAGCGGGAAGCCACCUGGCGACAGGGAGCGGAACCCGAAAACCUGUCUCAGUUCGGAUUGGAGUCUGCAACCCGACUCCAUGAAGCUGGAUUCGCUAGUAAUCGCGCAUCAGCCAUGGCGCGGUGAAUACGUUCCC
RNAcentral lists this ribosomal RNA (1022 nucleotides) under uncultured bacterium. RNAcentral describes it as "bacterial SSU rRNA". It matches the Rfam family "Bacterial small subunit ribosomal RNA", at positions 355 to 1375 of the family's 1533-position model. The record is from RNAcentral.